This 326-nucleotide ribosomal RNA is filed under the name uncultured eukaryote. RNAcentral's name for it is "partial 18S ribosomal RNA". It matches the Rfam family "Eukaryotic small subunit ribosomal RNA", at positions 1470 to 1796 of the family's 1831-position model. The record is from RNAcentral.
CCCUUAGAUGUUCUGGGCCGCACGCGCGCUACACUGAUGCAUUCAACAAGUUUUCACCCUUGGCCGAGAGGUCCGGGUAAUCUUUGAACGUGUAUCGUGAUGGGGAUAGGCCCUUGCAAUUAUUGGCCUUCAACGAGGAAUUCCUAGUAAACGCGAGUCAUCAGCUCGCAUUGAUUACGUCCCUGCCCUUUGUACACACCGCCCGUCGCACCUACCGAUUGAAUGGUCCGGUGAGCCGUUCGGACUCGCUUGAGUUUCCUUUACGGGAGAUUCAGAUGGGGAAGUUCUGCAAACCUUACCAUUUAGAGGAAGGUGAAGUCGUAACA